RNAcentral lists this ribosomal RNA (253 nucleotides) under uncultured bacterium. Its description in RNAcentral is "partial 16S ribosomal RNA". It matches the Rfam family "Bacterial small subunit ribosomal RNA", at positions 524 to 776 of the family's 1533-position model. The record is from RNAcentral.
UACGUAGGUGGCAAGCGUUGUCCGGAUUUACUGGGCGUAAAGGGCUCGUAGGCGGCCAACUAAGUCGGAUGUGAAAUCCCCAGGCUUAACCUGGGAACUGCAUCCGAUACUGGAUGGCUUGAAUCCGGGAGAGGGAUGCAGAAUUCCAGGUGUAGCGGUGAAAUGCGUAGAUAUCUGGAGGAAUACCGGUGGCGAAGGCGGCAUCCUGGACCGGCAUUGACGCUGAGGAGCGAAAGCUAGGGGAGCAAACGGG